CUACGGGAGGCAGCAGUGAGGAAUAUUGCACAAUGGGGGGAACCCUGAUGCAGCAACACCGCGUGGAGGAUGACGCAUUUCGGUGUGUAAACUCCUUUUAUAUGUCAAGAAAAUGACGGUAGCAUAUGAAUAAGCACCGGCUAACUCCGUGCCAGCAGCCGCGGUAAUACGGAGGGUGCAAGCGUUAUUCGGAAUCACUGGGCGUAAAGGACGCGUAGGCGGGUUUUUAAGUCAGGUGUGAAAUCCUACAGCUUAACUGUAGAACUGCACUUGAAACUACUGACCUAGAGUAUGGGAGGGGGAGAUGGAAUUAGUGGUGUAGGGGUAAAAUCCGUAGAUAUCACUAGGAAUACCUAAAGCGAAGGCGAUCUCCUGGAACAUUACUGACGCUAAGGCGUGAAAGCGUGGGGAGCAAACAGGAUUAGAUACCCGCGUAGUC
RNAcentral lists this ribosomal RNA (439 nucleotides) under uncultured bacterium. RNAcentral describes it as "partial 16S ribosomal RNA". It matches the Rfam family "Bacterial small subunit ribosomal RNA", at positions 339 to 795 of the family's 1533-position model. The record is from RNAcentral.